GGCCGAGUGGCGGAAUUGGCAGACGCACGGGACUUAAAAUCCCGCGGGAGGAAUCUCCUGUACCGGUUCGAGUCCGGUCUCGGCUA
Molecule: transfer RNA, 86 nt
Filed under: Pirellulaceae bacterium
Lineage: Bacteria; Pseudomonadati; Planctomycetota; Planctomycetia; Pirellulales; Pirellulaceae
Description: tRNA-Leu
Rfam family: tRNA
About the family: Transfer RNA (tRNA) molecules are approximately 80 nucleotides in length.
Source: RNAcentral